Molecule: ribosomal RNA, 253 nt
Filed under: uncultured bacterium
Lineage: Bacteria
Description: partial 16S ribosomal RNA
Rfam family: Bacterial small subunit ribosomal RNA
Source: RNAcentral
UACGUAGGUGACAAGCGUUGUCCGGAUUUACUGGGCGUAAAGAGCGCGCAGGCGGUCGAUCAAGUCGAGUGUGAAAGCCCCCGGCUCAACUGGGGAGGGUCAUUCGAUACUGAUCGACUCGAAGGCAGGAGAGGGUAGUGGAAUUCCCGGUGUAGUGGUGAAAUGCGUAGAUAUCGGGAGGAACACCAGUGGCGAAGGCGGUUCUCUGGGCCUUACCUGACGCUGAGGAGCGAAAGCGUGGGGAGCGAACAGG